RNAcentral lists this non-coding RNA (208 nucleotides) under Alphaproteobacteria bacterium. Lineage: Bacteria; Pseudomonadati; Pseudomonadota; Alphaproteobacteria. The record is from RNAcentral.
UAUCGAUUGAGCAUCGUCGGUCUUCCUUAACCGGAAGCUAAGAGGGAACGCCGUGCCGCCCCGAGAGAUCGAGGGGCCAAUCGGCGGCUAUGCCCGUAGCUGUAAGCGGAGAGCGACUGCCUAAGUGUCACUGGAUCAAAGAAUCCGGGAAGACGGGCAGGAGCCGUGACCCGCAAGCCAGAAGACCUGCCGGCGAUAGCGUCGCUUU